This 253-nucleotide ribosomal RNA is filed under the name uncultured bacterium. RNAcentral describes it as "partial 16S ribosomal RNA". It matches the Rfam family "Bacterial small subunit ribosomal RNA", at positions 524 to 776 of the family's 1533-position model. The record is from RNAcentral.
GACGAGGGGUCCUAGCGUUGUUCGGAAUUAUUGGGCGUAAAGCGUAUGUAGGUGGCUUUGUAAGUCAGGUGUGAAAGCCCUGGGCUCAACCCAGGAAGUGCAUUUGAUACUGCGAAGCUUGAGUGCUGGAGAGGAUAGUAGAAUUCCUGGUGUAGUGGUGAAAUACGUAGAUAUCAGGAGGAAUACCGGUGGCGAAGGCGGCUAUCUGGCCAUGCACUGACACUGAGAUGCGAAAGCGUGGGGAUCAAACAGG